Molecule: transfer RNA, 72 nt
Filed under: Pangasianodon hypophthalmus (striped catfish)
Lineage: Eukaryota; Metazoa; Chordata; Actinopteri; Siluriformes; Pangasiidae
Description: tRNA-Glu
Rfam family: tRNA
About the family: Transfer RNA (tRNA) molecules are approximately 80 nucleotides in length. Their secondary structure includes four short double-helical elements and three loops (D, anti-codon, and T loops).
Source: RNAcentral
UCCCCAGAGGACUAGUGGUUAGGCCUCGGCGCUCUCACCGCCACAGCCCGGCUUCGAUUCCCGGCCAGGGAA